GACGGCUAAGUUGGCAGAGCAUGAGACUCUUAAUCUCAGGGUUGUGGGUUCAAAAGAUUCUCGCAUUGCA
This is a non-coding RNA of Podarcis lilfordi (Lilford's wall lizard), 70 nucleotides long. NCBI's taxonomy places the organism in Eukaryota, Metazoa, Chordata, Lepidosauria, Squamata, Lacertidae. The record is from the annotation of a GenBank genome assembly.